Long non-coding RNA from Rhododendron vialii, 12072 nucleotides. RefSeq lists it as uncharacterized. The transcript is spliced from 26 exons. NCBI's taxonomy places the organism in Eukaryota, Viridiplantae, Streptophyta, Magnoliopsida, Ericales, Ericaceae. The record is from RefSeq and is a predicted model, not a curated record.
GUACUUAUAAACGCCUAGACUCUCGCUCCCUUGCAAUUCCACCGCGCGCUCCCUCUCUCUCUCUCUCUCUCUCUCUCUCUACAAUGUCGUUUCUCCAGUUCUUCACCGCUCCUGGAUUUCUUUUUCAAAUUUCAAAACCCUCAUUCUCUCUCCCCUCACCCUCUCUCUUGACGUCUUCCUGCGAUUCCUCCUUUGAGUGCAGGCCAGGCCUUCGUAGAUUGAGGGCACUCGGCCGAGUUCGUCGAUCAGAAAAUUACAGUGGAGAGAGAGAGAGAGAGAGAGAGAGAGAGAGAGAGAGAGAGAGAGAGAGAGAGAGAGAGAGAGAGAGAGGCGUGAAUGGAGGAUCCCUAUUGGAGAUACGGUGCUUCUGCAGAUAGAGGUUCUAAUUCUUUUGCCCUAACCCUAACUCUUUCUUCGUUUCUCUUAUCUCCCGCACGAAUUUUGAUACUCGAAAAUAUUUCAAUGUCACGUCUGAUUCAGAUAGAGGUUCUAAUUUUGAUACUCGAAAAUUCGUACUCCCCCACGAAUUUUGUACGUUCACGGUUUAUAGGCACGUUUGAACUCGGACCAGGAGAUCUUUACUUUAUUCCAGUGGUGUGUAUAGUGUUACGUGGACAAGAAGUGGUGAUAUUUUGAAGAACUUGUAGAAUUUUUACUUAGAGUACUUUUGAAGGCUGGGGGGACAGCGGCUCCCGCUUGCUGUCACCUCCGUCCGCCCUGCGAUUGCAUAUGCGACUGAAAUUUGUUUUUGUGAUGAAUGUGUGGCUUUAAUUAUAACCAAUUCAGUACUUAAAAUUGAACAUAUUGAAUGAUAAGUGAUUAAGUAAGUUUGAUCUUACUAUUUGCUUAUGUUUUUCUUUUGUGUUUCGUGGCAAAGGUGAACGAGAGCUAUAUUUCUGUCCAUUUAGUGUAAAAAUAUGUUCACCCCUUCCCUUUUUGCUUUUUGUUUUGAUUAUUGCAUACCACUAUCGAGGGAGGCGGCGAUAGUGGUGCUGUUGAGGUACCGGCAGCUGUCACCGAGCACGAGGAGGCUGUCAACUUCGCCGGGGAGGAGGUUGUCAGGUGGGAUUAGGGUUUUGCCGGCGAGCAUAGCUGCCGUAAUUCGAAGGUUUCGGAGGCACUUGCGGGGUCGGGGAAGGGGAGUAGGAAGAAUUGGGGUGAGUUACCGGUGGAGUCGGUCGCGGCCUCUCUUGAGGUGAAAGAGAAGGGUUCUGCCAAAAACUAGCUGGAUUAGCAAGCUAUUUUGCGAACUCAGGAGGCUUGGAACAAGUUUCAGAGGAACUCUUUUGAAUUUUGCCCUGGUCCUUUUACUUAAUUUGAAGAGGAGAAAAUUUUCGAGCUCUUCCAGCCGACAUAUUUUUCUCUGCUGCUACCGUGUGCAAGCUUCUUACCAGGUUGCCUUCUCUUUCAGUUCUAACAGUCGUGUACAAAAGUCUUACCAGGUUGCAGAGAGGAGUAAAGGUUGCAUUACUUCGUUGUCUUUCUUUAGUUUCAGAUUCAGAUGUCUCUCUUCUUUUUCGUCUGACAUGUUUUCCAGUUCUUUGUCGUGGAUUUCCUGUGAAUCAAUAUAGCUAGGGCUUAUCUUCUGUUCGAAUCAUUCCGAUAGGCAGGUCUCCUGCCACUUCUUUCGAUGGACCAAAGAAAUCGCAUAUGCAGAGUACUAUGAAAGAGCCCUCACGAAUGGUAUACUGGGCAUCCAAAGGGGAAGAGAGCCCGGAGUGAUGAUCUACAUGCUCCCACUAGGCCGUGGCGUUUCCAAAGCCAUAAGUUACCGUGGAUGGGGAACGAAGUUUGAUUCCUUUUGGUGCUGCUAUGGGACAUGAAUUGAGUUAUUCUCAAAGUUGGGAGAUUCAAUAGACUUUGAAGAAUAGGGCAAAGUUCCAGGGAUUUACAUCACCCAGUUCAUAUUGACCUCACAAUCUGGGCAAAUUCUUCUAAAGCAGAAAGUAGAACCUCCUGUUGUGUGGAAUUCUCUCUUUCAAGUGUUCUUGACAAUUCUGUCGGAGGAGGAAGGGUCCGGUCUGCAAGCUACCUUGCAUUUUCGUGUACCACUGUGGUCAUUAUUGAAUGGUGCAAAGGCGGUAUUAAAUUGUCAGGAUUUGUCUCCACCAAAUCCAGGUCUGAACAUUGUUUUCUCUUUUCCACAUCCUUACUGAAUUAUGUCCUGCUGUUUAAACAUAUCGUUUCUGCAUCGUUUAUCUUCUACUCUUCUGGUUUCUGACAAGUCAUAACAGUUUUUUGGAAGGCCUCGGUGUUCACUUGUCUAUGUAUUUAUGCUCUAUGUUUUGACUUUUUGAAACUGAUUCAAUUGAUAAAAAAGCCUCAACUCGGUAAAAUGGCCUCCCAACAAGACGUUUCAAGUUCACCUACUCAUUUUGUCAGUUUUAAUCUUACUAUAACGUUGGUAACUCUACCAUGUUUCACAUUUCUAUGUAGAAUUGAAGACGCUAGAGACAAAUAUUCUAUAAUAGCUCAAAAGCAAAAUUAUUAAAUUAAAGACUUUAAGAUCUAUAUUUAAACUCUUAAAGGCCUCACACUAAGAUUGGGCCGUCUCUGGUCUUGUGAGCCCUGCCGUUGCUGGAGAGGUGAUGGUUGCUUAUCACCCCCCCUCAAAUGAGUGGGUGGACCACCAACCAGAAGCUUGGCUUGAAGUUCAUGAAACUGUGGAAUAGAGAGAGCCUUGGUAAGAACAAUAGCAAUGAUCAGAGGAGGAGACACGGCCAGUGAAAAGUUAUUUCCCAGCAACCUUUUCGCGAACAAAGUGGUAAAUCUACUUCAAUGUGUUCAAGCAUGGAAUACGGGGUUUGAAGGCAAGGAAAUGGCAGACAUUGUUGCGCCAUAGCGUGGGAACAGGAGAGGAGAGAUGCAUAUCCUUGAGCAGCAUUAGGAACAGAAAGAUUUUCUAUUUAAUUACAGUCAUCAGCUAGAAAACUUCAACCUCUGAACUCUCUCUGUACUUUUGCACUCAAUCUGAUGUUUUUCUUGUGAUCUUGCAUACAAGUGCUUUAACAAUUUGCAUUGCUGGAGUUGUCAAGGAUCGGGUGGGUGUCUUACUAUCAGCACUUCUCUUUGCAGAUAUUCAAAUAUGAUGAUCAUAAAUCUGUUUGGUUAUGGCAUUGGUAAUAUACUUUUGUUUAGUUCACUUUAAUUGGUCGUUAAAUUUUUUGCGUUAGUUGUAUAAUUCAUGUUUAUGCCUUCACUAUGUCCCCUUCAUGUUGCCCACUUGCCCUCGUUACAAUAAAUAAAACGGAUUGUCCACAUUAGUUCACUCCAGGUUAUACCAGAAAUUUGAGCAUGUCAUACUCUUACUGUCUUACAACUGCCAUUACAUUGGUCAUCAUCGAUUGCAUUGUUGAUAAAUAUUCCUGCAAUAGCUUAGAUGUAAUGAAGUUCCGUCUUCUUGAUGUGGGAUGUUCACACAUCGGGAAAUCCCUGUCCCCUGUUUCACCAUUGGUUGUGCCGUUUUCAUAUUUCCUCGUGCACAAUGCUUAUGACAUUGUGUUAUUUGGCUGUCGUGUUCCUCCUCUUCCAAAUUACUCAUUGUUCUAUUUUUUAUAAAGUUUUGCACUUUGAUUCCGAAAUUGACCAAUUGCACGAUCCUGAUGACUAUGAGAACCCUGGGGCAGAAAUGAAACCACAUGCUGUCUACCAUUAGUACUUGAGCAUGUUCUGUAUGGUGUUGGCUUCUUGAAAAUUCUAAAUGAAAAAAAAUGAAAGGAGAGGAGAGGCAAAAAAAUUUCAUUCAGUUCCCUUUCCAGAAAUCCAUAAUUGGAAGAAAUCUUAAAGGAUGAUAAUUUCCAAUUUGUUUGUUAAGUAGGUCUUCUUAAAAUAGGAAUUAAGGCUACAAUAUCCUCCCAAAAGCAGUUAAUAGUUUAUUACUGGUAUGGGUGUCUGUGGAAUCUCCUUCUCAUGGGGUGGUUUGAAUUUUGAAACUUGUGCCUGUAUGAAUCUUUAUUGUGUUGAAUGUAUUGUGUGGCUGUUACUGUAACUGCACUUAGAUGUUUAUUUUCCUUGGGCAGAAGAAACUGUUUGUUCUUUUAUGCAGCCACUGAAGUUGUAGCUGCAGCUGUGUGUAACAACCACAAGUUAAAAAAGGAAGCCACUUGAGGCACUUCCAAUGAGUCUCGACAUACUGAAUCUAUAACAUUUACUUCAUCAUCAACCACUGAGAAAUCGAUUAAUGGAACCGGUCUCACGUUUUUUGAGCUGCUUCGACUUGGGGAGGGUUUCAGAAACAACACAGGCAGUUGUGUACCAAAUAUGGUUGGAUUUGCUGACUGGAUUGAUUGAACGAAACAAAAGAAAAUUCGUGUAACCGGGUAAUGUAGCUUGCUGUGAAAUGCAGGUUGAAAGAGGAACCUUUGACCUUUGGUGCUUUUUGUGUCUUAAAGCAUCUACUUUCCAGGUUGUCUGAAGCUUGGCAUAGUAAAAGGCCUUCACUUGUUGAAGCUGUAAGGUUGUUGCUAGAUGAAAAAAAUUUGGCUGUCCGUAAAGCUCUUUCAGAGUUGAUUGUUGUCAUGGCUUCGCAUUGUUACUUGGUCGGUCCAUUCGGGGAGUUGUUUGUUGAAUAUCUUGUGCGCCACUGUGCUAUAUAAGAUAAGGACAGAAAUGAUUUGAAAAGGUCAAAGGAAGCCGUUAGGCUAGCUGGCACAUAUUAUGUUCUCCCUUACAAGAGAUAUGGGGUGAAGAUUGGGGUGGUUUGUCCAAUAGAGCUACGGAAAAUUUGUGAAAAAAGGUCUACAUCUAGUGACUAUUACUGUUCUUGAAAUGGAGCAUGUCGUCUGGCCUUUUCUAUUGAAGAUGAUUAUUCCAUAGGUCUAUGCUGGUGCAGGUUCCACGUUUUGCAGAUGCAUCUCUGAGUUGUGUAGACAUAGAUCUUCUUAUAUUAAGUACAAUGCUUACUGAGUGUAAAGCUCGAGCUGAUAUUCCAAACCUUGAGGAACUCUUUGCCCGGUUGGUGGUGCUCAUGCAUGAUCCUCUUGCUCGGGAGCAGCAGGCCGCUCAGAUUUUGACUGUUUUGUGCUACCUUGCACCUCUCUGCCCAGAAAAUAUCAACUUGUUUUGGCAAGAGGAGAUUCCAAAAUGAAAGCCUAUGUGAGUGACACUAAAGACCUAAAGUAGGAUCCUUCAUAUCAAGAAACAUGGGAUGACAUGAUAAUCCAUUCACUAUUUUUUGGGGAAGUGGGGGAAGGCGGUAGCGGAAGUGACGAAGAAGGCCGAGGAUCCUGCUAGGGAUAUGUUGCAGCAUUGUACUAUGUACGGCGGACUCAUCGAUGCAUGAUUUAAGAGUCAAGACCAUGGUGUUAAGUCAGCACCGCCUCACUCCGCCAUAGAGAAAACCUUCGGCGGCAACCACAUCUCCACCAUCACUACUCAGUUCGGAAUUUGGUUGUGUAUGAUCAGAUUUCAUUUUGGGGGUUGAUAAAAUAGAAAUACUCUUUGGUCUUCCUGAUUUUGGCAAAAAAGUAUGUUCGCAAAUUCAAUCCAUGAAAAGGUAAUAUUCCGUAACUCUUUUUUUCUUGAUUUUGAUACCAUACCAGUUUUCUUUGCUUGAGUUGGGAAGGGAUGUGGUUGAAAUUCUUAUACUUCAGUGAUUUCUAAUGACAUGAAUGAUCACGACCAUUCGGUGAAGAACAAAAGGAAGCAUACGAAAGCUUUAUAGCACGAGCACGGACACAAACACGGGACACGACAAUUCUUAAAAAAUGGAGAUACAGACACAGCGGGGGGCACGCCACGUGUAUAAAAAAAUAAAAAUUAAUUUUUUAUGAACGUAUAUGAAUAAUUUCACAAAUUGCAUAAUUUUUUUUUCAAAGGCAUAAUUACAGUUUAACCCGAAUAUUUUGAAUAAUUACAUAUUAACCCCAAAAGUUAAAAAUAUUACAUUUUGACCCAGUCGCUUCUCGGCAUGUCCCCUUUGAAAAAAUAAUAAAAAUUAUGGCGUGUCCAAUACGUGUCUCCGCCGUGUGCCUAUGUCCAAUACGUGGAUAUGACACCCUUUUGGAGUGUCGGUGCUUCAUAGUAUGAAAGUGAAGGAAAAAAAAGAGAAGUUUGUGAUUGAGUUUAACAAGAACACAAUUGAAAAAAUUAGUGGGACCUCACUUUUAGCUAUCAUAUAUGUGUAUAUUGGUUUCUAAUGCGAUUUUAACUGAACAUGGUCAUAUGACUGAUUAUGGAACUUCAUUGUGGUAACAUUGCUUCUUCCUAACAAAAAAGAUAUCUUUUUUUAUAAAUUUUCAUUGAUAUGUCGUCCGUAUUGCUUAUUGUAUUGGCAAUUACUUGCAAACCAUUGUUGCUGCGUUUGCUUAUGAUCCAGAGGAGUAUAGUGAGGUUCUAAUAACUCAUUCAGCUCACAAGUUUUAGGCAAAAAUCCUUUUGAAUUUGAUCUCUAUUCUUUGCUGCUGUAUUUAGUAGUGUAACAUACUGCAAUUGGUUAGUUGAUUGAUUAAGAUUUUAAGAGAACCAUUUAUGAAUCACUUUGGGGCCUUUGGGCUAUUGGAUGAAAAGGUAACUGUGUUGGUUUGUUUUUUUUGGUGUUGGGAAUGGUAGAAGUGUCCAUGAGGAUGUAACCUCCGUAUUUAGGUUUCACGCAUCUUUUGUCCUUUAUUCUCGAAAGUUUUUUUUCUUCCUUUAUUCUCGAAAGUUUAUUUUCCUAACCUUUCGUCCUCAUUUUUGGGCUUAUUUCAAUUUUUUUUUCAUGGAGACACUCGAUCAAAACUAUCAGGCUCUAUUGAUUGCUGUUUUUGGUAUCUUUUUAUUUGGAUUUUUUAUUCAUAGCACUGAAAACUUGUUUGUUUAACGGUUUCAAAACUUGACAUCCUUUUUGGCUCAAUUUUUCCAAUUCGGCCCUUUGUUGUGGUGAUGUAGGGCAAAACUAUGAAUCAGUGAGCAAAAGUGCAGCAAGGACAUUCACAAACGAGAUAGAUUUAGAGAAACUCUCUCUAGAAAGAUUCAAUAAUAAUCAAAAACUGUUUAGCCCUAAGCCUUACAACUCAUUAUAUAGGGAGCAAACCCUAACCCUAGCUGGAAAAAGAAAAAAUACUAAUUUUGGAAAAACCCAAAAUUAUUAUAAAUUCAGAAAAUAUAGAAAAAUCUAAGACUUCUCCAGAAAGAACGGACUAAAACAAAAAUUCCUACUAAAAAUUACAACGAAAGCACAUAUUUCCUUAAAUGGCAAAAUUUCUCUUUCGGAGGUUUAAACGGCCUUAAACGGCUAAAAAACACACGGCACAUGGCCGAAGAUGAUGUUUCUUGACCGUUGGGCCGUUUCGGUUCAAACCUAGGUAGGCCCAACUCCUAAUUCCAUCGUCGCAUCGCCGCAUAUUUACAAUUUUGUUACUCUAGGGUUAAAAUGUCUAAAGUGAUAUUCUUCCUCCAUGGCAACUGCAUCAUGUGGUUUCCACCUAUUUUGUAAGUGGGGGUUAUGGUCAUUUCAUAGCAUUUGCGAGGAUUACCAUUAUGCCUUUUUAAACUUUUAACAUUUUCCUAAUAUGUCCUUUUUAAUUACCUUAUUUUUGUCGGCUUCUCCUGGUUUUUACGAGGGUAUCUAUGGAAAAUGGGGGUGGCGUUGGUUAGUGAAUGGUGGUACAGUGGUUGGCGGUAUGCAGACAGAUGAUGGCAAAGCUGUGGCAGUGAUGGUUGCAGCUUUCGGCAGGUGAGGUAAAACAGGAAGUCCGCUUCAUAGAACUUGGCACUUUCUUCUCCAAUGUAUUUUGACUUCCCACCCUUUCUUAUUAUUAUGUAAGACAUGGGUGGUUAUUAUUUAACGCUUUCGGCAAGUGAUGUAUGAUUAUAAGUGAUGAUUAUUUUAUCUUUUUUCUCGUACUAAUGUCUAGAGUUUCUAUUAUCACUGCUAGAGAAUGAUUGGAGAUCAUUGCCUCACUGAUUCUGCUUUAUUUGGGCUCCACAUUCGGGUGAGUUUUCUAUGAAAUGAUCUAUGGAACAAUGAAGGGUUGAUAUGUUGUGCCGAAUAGUUUUUCUUUUCUGACCAUGUGUUUGUUUGAUCAUCUAUUUGAGAGACCUUAUUCUUUCUCCAAUUUUUAUUUUUAUGUCUAUAGACUCUUGGGCCUAUGCUUCACUGUAGGCCCUACCCCUACGCAUGAAAUCAUUUUGCAGCUAAAAUUGGGCAACAUCUAGAAUCGAAAACUGAAUCUAUUACCAUGUCUCCCAACAAAUUGAUUUAGUCGAAUUAAGAGUACGACCCACUAGAAACCAUUCUUAUUCAAGUAUCGGUGCAUGACCUCUCUUUAGCUAAAAUCCUGCUUAUUCAAGAGAGAUCACGCUUAUUGUGGUCAGCUAAAACCAUGCUUAUUAACGUUGCUUUGGUGCGUGACCUCUCGUGAAUAAGCAAUAUUACCACCAGUGUGGGCAAUGUGCCCUUAAAAAGAUUCCGUUCUUUUUAAUGCCGGAUCGAGGUAGCGCUAAGUGGGACGAGCGCUCGUAAUUCAGAGAGUCGCCACUUGGGUUUGAAGGUCCGACACCUAAGGAACCGAAAUUCGAAACGCUUUAUACUCUGUUUUCUGAUUUGAAAAAGUGAAAGCACCGGUCCGUCAUAACCAUAUCUGGGUUCGGGAGCCAGGUUACGAGAGGGGAAGGGUUUUAAGGCACUCCUCUCGCCCAAUUCGGAGAUUGGUCUAUACUUAGGCAUUUUGUGAAAAUUAUUGCGAUUCUUCUCUUUAUUAAUCAAUUUUUAGCCAUUUAGGGUGGGAGAACAGAUUAAUGGGGUUAAAACUAUAACAAUUUGCAAGAUGUGAUUGGAAUAGCAUGGAUGGAUGAAAUGAUGAACCAUAAAUGGAAUAUGACCCAACACAGUGAAGAAAGAUCAAAACAGUGCAUUUAUUUGAAGUUUGACGCGAACAGAAGCCAGCUUGCAUGCAUGGAUUUACGUGCAUGUAAGCCAACCGGCGCGCGCCAUUCCCAUAUACACGCGCGUGUAUUGAUCUCUUCUCAACAGGUUUGAUUUUAUUUCCUUCUGGGCUCUGGAAUGACCAGUACAUAUCCAGGGGGCAAGCCAAGCAGUUUAUAUGCCCAGACAACAAAUAUAAAUUACAGACAUGAUGAAUUUAAUUGAAAUACAACCCCUAAACAGUGGGGGUAUUAAAACAGAGACCAAAGGCCUAGCUACCCAUGCAAAGCCAACCACUGGCAGUAAAUUAACAUGAGCGCGCAGAUCAAGGACAAGCGCGCGCUUGUUCUGAUUGGACUUCCAGUAAUUGGUGGUGCAUGCUUGGGCUCUGAGACAUGAAUCAGAAACCACCCAGGGGUAUUCCAAAGCAUCAUAAAAGCAUAUUGAGCUAGUUUUUAAUAAACUUGCACAUAAAACAGUAAAUAAAUUUUAUCAUGCAUCAAGGUGAUUUAUAACAUAAUAAAAACAUAAAAUGACCAAAACCCCUGUCCCCACGAGGAUCAGCGCGCGCUAUCGAUGAGGAGGAUUGAGUGGGUAGAGAACAUGGAGGAGCAACCAGCCAACAAGGCUGGUUGGCCUUGCUUGGUGGAGAAAACUCCCCAAAAGUUGAUGGGAGUGGGUAUGCCCUAAACUUGCCAAAACACUAUUUAGGCGACAAAAUCCGAGCACUAUGGGUGUAAUAGACCCCUGAUGAUCACAAAAUCCAGCUUGCGAAAAGGUGAAAGGGACAGGUAUGGACCGGUGCGCGCAUUACCAAGACAGGCGCGCGCGUGUGCCACCUACCACUGCGCUGGUCAAUAGUCAAAGCUUUGACUGUUGACCACCACCUGGCAAGUUGAUUGACGUGCGUGGAAGCCAGAGCAACGCACGCUGGGCAAACCUAGGGCUAGGGUUUUGACUUAGGAUUUUGGGGUUCAAAAGGGGUUAUAAACACUCCAAGAUCAAUCCUUUCCGUUCUCAAGUAUGUUUUUGAUCCAAUUCAUCAUCGAGGAAACAAGAAACCGAAAAACAAUGUAAAUCAAUUGGGAGACCCAGAUUGGGGUGUCUACGACCAGAAACCAUGCUUAUUCACGUAUCGGUGCGUGACCUCUCUUGAAUAAGCAAUUGUGGCAGCAUGACCUCUCUUCAGCCUUUUGAGAUGGGCUAAGAGCAAAGAUCUUGUAUGCAUUGACAUUCUCACAUGUUGCACUGAAGUGGUCAAUGCUUUGCAAAAUUUUUAUAUUGUUGCAAAAUGUCAUAUUAGAUUGUAGGCUGUUAGCCUUAGCCUUUGAGUUUGUUUCUGUAAUCAAGGCCACCAAUAGUACGUGCACCUAGCCCACAAUCUUGUCCAGACUAGCCUAUGUAAUAGGUAUUUUAUGUAAUGGAUGACUUAUGCUGUUUGGUUCUGAAAAAAAUGAACAAUUCAUACGUAUAUAAAUGUAAAUUAUUAGAUAUCAAUCUACCCAUCGAAAUAAAAAUCCUUAAAAGCUACGGGCACAAUUUUAUCAUACAAAGCAAAAAGUCAAGACUGCCCCCAAGCAUUACCCUAAUCUCCCCCAUUAAGGGGCUCAAUUGGAAAAAUCUCGCCAAACUUUGACCGACCAGAAAUUCAGCUUCAUAACCCAGAAAUACAAGGAAGGAGCUAUGUCUAUUCUUCAGUUUUUCUUUGAAUUUUGUAGGCAUCAAAGAUCUAAUUAGUAAUUUGUUAGAUUAAUCUUGCACUUCCUUUGUCAUCUGAAACUGAAUAGUUUGGCACCGUUUUGUUUCAAUCCCUUUAGCUGGUGCAGGUCAUUGAUGGUGUUCAUCAUUGAAGGCUCCAAGGUAGAUCUUGUUAUAGAAACACAGUCUUGAUACACUUUUGUUAAGAUUUUAGUACUUUGUUCUUGUUUAUUAUGAAAUUCUACAAAUGAGAUAUGCAUAUGUGUGCUUUGUGUAACUGUAUUCCGUUCGGGAAAAAAGGGUACCUUUACUGACUACAUUUGCUGGAGUAGUAACAAAAAAAGAAGGAACAAAUCAAUUGUCUAAGGGGAGGGUAUGUCUUAUCAAUACACUUGUAUUAAAAGAGCCAAUGUUGCCUAGCCAAGCCAUGAUGCGAAAAUAUGAAACUACCCCUUGUAGGAUUACCCUUGUAGCUUGAGUUUGAGGGUAGGAUCGUCCUUUUGCAUUGUUUGAAAGAUCUGUUGGGCAAAAGGGCCACACCGAAUCGUUUUCCGGGUAAAAGCUGCCUCGCCGUUGGGGUUGAGAGAGGAAUGCUUGGUUCCCCGGAGUUAGCUCGACCAAAUUGUAUUAUGUUUUUUGGAUUUUAGUGAAAUUGUGUACUUCGUCAGUUUUUCCAACGCGAUUUAAAGAGAGAGAGAGAGAGAGGGAGGAAUGCUUGGUUCUCCUUAAUUUACUCAACUAAUUGAACUUUCUCAGCUUCUGAACGUGGCUUUUCAGUGUGAGUUUUGCUGAAAUUAAAGCUUGGAUGGCGGAAUCGACAAUAGAUGAAGAAUUGACCUAGGGUUUCCAGUAAGCUUCCAUAGAAGGCAUUUCUCUGACUGCAUGGUUCACAAGCUCAAUUGGUCUCUACCGUACUUCAAUUGAAUUCACUGGGUGUGAUGGAGCUAUUUUGUGGUGAUUCAAUAAGGUUCUUAGAUCUCUCUACCUCUGAAUCCCUCGUUGAAACCCUCUCAUUGGAUGUUCUGGAAACAUUCUAGAAUUAAAGGUUAUGCACUUGAACUUGAUAUGACUGCAAGGGAAAUUCAAGCUUUUGCAAAGGUGAAGAUAGCACAAGAGCUAUUACUAUCACAUCUCUGGCAAGUAAGGAGUAGAGUCAGUAACGGAGUUGACCUUCUUGUAAGGGUAUCUAUGGAAAAUGGGGGUGGUGGUGGUUAGUGAAUGGUGGUACAGUGGGUGGUAUGCAGAUGAUGGUAAAGUUGAUGAUGGUUGCAGCUUUCGGCAGGUCAUCGAUGGUGUUUAUCCUUGAAGGCUAAAUGUUUCAAGGCCGAGGUCAAAAUUCAUCAAGUAUGAUGCCAUUAGCCAUAACUGAUGCAUUCAAUAUUUUCAAGAUUUAAUUAUGCAAGGUAAGUUUAAGGUUUGAUGCUUAUUUCCAUCUCCCAAAUUUCUAGGGGAAUGAAUUAGUGUGGACACCAAGUCUUCUGGCUUGCUGUAGCCUGGUUUUGGUACCAAGGAAGUGGCCAAAGCAAUUU